CGCCACCUCUGUGCAUUGUGAUGCCACGCCAUGGUUCCUAUGGAUGAACUUCACUUGGUUUGGAGUUAAGAGUUGCCGAGAGCCGGUGGGCUUCCUUUUGGAUUAUUGGAUGUAUAUAUUGUGAAGAUCUCCUGUGACAACGAAGUUUUCGUUCGGAGCAUCGCGACCAUCUGAUGACGGCACGGCGCCCAACGAAAGAGUCAGGGUGAAGUCCUCAAAGGGAAGCUGUACUAUAACAGCUUAUGACUUUAGCGAUCCUGGAGGUUCUGCUAUAUUCUGCUCUGAACACUUAAUACAGGUUGAAGAACAAGUUUCCUAUUGCAAAUGAUGGGGCCAGAAAGGUUUGUCUCAGCCUACUCUUUGAUUGGUCUGGAGGUUUCUUAUCUGGCCAGUAAUAAGUUUUAUGCCUUCCCUGAAGUAUUCACACGAGAAGAGAUGCCAGUCACUGUGGAUAAUAUGGUAACAGUUGAAGAUCUGGUGAAGUGGCCUUAUCAGGCAAAAGUGCACAUCUCUAGCGUGAAGGCAAAUGUUGACACCCUGUUAAUUGGAACCAAUGCGCCCAAGGCAUUAGAACCCUGGGAGGUUAUCAAUAGCUGCGGGAAUGGCCUGUAUGCUAUCAGGACAGUCCUGGGAUGGGUUGUCAAUGGCCCACUGAACGGAAUCAGGAAUGCACCGUUACCCUCCACCACAGUGAACCAUAUCUCCAUGGAAAGGAUUGAAGAGAUGCAGGUUAGUUAGUACAACCAUGACUUCAGUGAGAGGAUUGCAGAGGAGAAGGAAAUGUCCAAAGACGACCUCAGGUUUCUGGAAAUCAUGGACCAUUCAGCCGUGCUGCAAGAUGGGAGGUACUACUUAAAGCCGCACU
Long non-coding RNA from Brienomyrus brachyistius, 865 nucleotides. RefSeq lists it as uncharacterized. The record is from RefSeq and is a predicted model, not a curated record. The transcript has 3 exons. NCBI's taxonomy places the organism in Eukaryota, Metazoa, Chordata, Actinopteri, Osteoglossiformes, Mormyridae.